RNAcentral lists this ribosomal RNA (433 nucleotides) under uncultured bacterium. RNAcentral's name for it is "partial 16S ribosomal RNA". It matches the Rfam family "Bacterial small subunit ribosomal RNA", at positions 28 to 507 of the family's 1533-position model. The record is from RNAcentral.
GACGAACGCCGGCGGCAGGCCUAACACAUGCAAGUCGAGCGGACCUUUCGGGGUCAGCGGCGGACGGGUGAGUAACGCGUGGGAAUAUGCCCUUCUCUACGGAAUAGUCCUGGGAAACUGGGGGUAAUACCGUAUACGCCCUUUGGGGGAAAGAUUUAUCGGGGAAGGAUUAGCCCGCGUUGGAUUAGGUAGUUGGUGGGGUAAUGGCCUACCAAGCCGACGAUCCAUAGCUGGUUUGAGAGGAUGAUCAGCCACACUGGGACUGAGACACGGCCCAGACUCCUACGGGAGGCAGCAGUGGGGAAUCUUAGACAAUGGGGGCAACCCUGAUCUAGCCAUGCCGCGUGAGUGAUGAAGGCCUUAGGGUUGUAAAGCUCUUUCAGCUGGGAAGAUAAUGACGGUACCAGCAGAAGAAGCCCCGGCUAACUCCGUG